CAGGAUUAGAGGCGUUAUUGUGACAGGUUGAGUGUGGAAGGGUUGGGGGACUAUAACAGGUUUAGAUGUGUUAAUGUGACAGAGUGAGUGUGGAAAGGUUGGUGGGUGAGAGAGCUGGGGAUGAGUGUGGCACGGUUAGAGGAGAGAGUGUGUCAGGAUGAGGGGAAGUAGGCGUGACAGGAUUGGAGGUUUUUUUUGACAGGGUGAUUGUGACAGGGUGAAUGUCAAUGAGUAGAGUGUGAUAGGGCUGGGAGGUGAAUGUGACA
Pelobates cultripes (western spadefoot toad) is the source of this 266-nucleotide non-coding RNA. Lineage: Eukaryota; Metazoa; Chordata; Amphibia; Anura; Pelobatidae. The record is from the annotation of a GenBank genome assembly.